This 492-nucleotide ribosomal RNA is filed under the name uncultured bacterium. Its description in RNAcentral is "partial 16S ribosomal RNA". It matches the Rfam family "Bacterial small subunit ribosomal RNA", at positions 29 to 507 of the family's 1533-position model. The record is from RNAcentral.
AGUGAACGCUGGCGGUAGGCCUAACACAUGCAAGUCGAACGGCAGCACAGUAAGAGCUUGCUCUUACGGGUGGCGAGUGGCAGACGGGUGAGGAAUACAUCGGAAUCUACUUUUUCGUGGGGGAUAACGUAGGGAAACUUACGCUAAUACCGCAUACGACCUACGGGUGAAAGCAGGGGAUCUUCGGACCUUGCGCGAUUGAAUGAGCCGAUGUCGGAUUAGCUAGUUGGCGGGGUAAAGGCCCACCAAGGCGACGAUCCGUAGCUGGUCUGAGAGGAUGAUCAGCCACACUGGAACUGAGACACGGUCCAGACUCCUACGGGAGGCAGCAGUGGGGAAUAUUGGACAAGGGGCGCAAGCCUGAUCCAGCCAUACCGCGUGGGUGAAGAAGGACUUCGGGUUGUAAAGCCCUUUUGUUGGGAAAGAAAAGCAGCAGGUUAAUACCCCGCUGUUCUGACGGUACCCAAAGAAUAAGCACCGGCUAACUUCGUG